RNAcentral lists this ribosomal RNA (249 nucleotides) under uncultured bacterium. RNAcentral describes it as "partial 16S ribosomal RNA". It matches the Rfam family "Bacterial small subunit ribosomal RNA", at positions 57 to 305 of the family's 1533-position model. The record is from RNAcentral.
GCAAGUCGAGGGGUAACAGGGAAGCUUGCUUCUGCUGACGACCGGCGCACGGGUGCGUAACGCGUAUGCAACCUACCUCUUACUGGGGGAUAGCCCGGAGAAAUCCGGAUUAAGACCCCAUAGUACUAUACUUUCGCAUGUUAGUAUAUUUAAAGGUUACGGUAAGAGAUGGGCAUGCGUCCUAUUAGCUAGAUGGUAAGGUAACGGCUUACCAUGGCAACGAUAGGUAGGGGGCCUGAGAGGGUGAUC